RNAcentral lists this ribosomal RNA (254 nucleotides) under uncultured bacterium. RNAcentral's name for it is "partial 16S ribosomal RNA". It matches the Rfam family "Bacterial small subunit ribosomal RNA", at positions 524 to 776 of the family's 1533-position model. The record is from RNAcentral.
UACGGGAGGGUGCAAGCGUUAUCCGGAUUCACUGGGUUUAAAGGGUGCGUAGGCGGGCAGGUAAGUCCGUGGUGAAAUCUCUGAGCUUAACUCAGAAACUGCCAUGGAUACUAUUUGUCUUGAAUAUUGUGGAGGUAAGCGGAAUAUGUCAUGUAGCGGUGAAAUGCUUAGAUAUGACAUAGAACACCAAUUGCGAAGGCAGCUUACUACACAGUUAUUGACGCUGAGGCACGAAAGCGUGGGGAUCAAACAGG